CAAUCCUUACCUCUAGCUAAGGAUGGUUGGUCAUUUUUAUUUACAUAUUUUAUAUUUGUUUUCAUUUUCUACACUGAAUAGGGUUUACUUCUUAAAUCAGAAGAACAGUCCAUUUUUUUCAAGAAGCAGAAUUGUGGCCUAGCCCACCUGCCUGCCAUUCCUACCCAUGUCUUAGGCAGGUGAGCCAGGCAGACUCUCUCGAAGCGAAUCAGAAACAUCUUGGGAGGUUCAGCUGAAGGAACAAAGGACUCCUCGCAUCCAGGAUCUUCCAAUGCCAGCAUUUGAGCGAUGCCCUAAAGAACCAGCCUUGUCCCACACAGGAGGUACCAUGUGAAGCUGUUAUUGAUUGUUUACAGGUUAGUAUAAAAGGAUUUAUCGGUGUCAUGUAAUAGUUUUGAAUAGGGCUUGGAGUCCGGGCUCAGAACUUAAAUUCUCACUCUGUUGUUCACUAAUGUUUGAUUUGGAGUGAUGACUUAUUCUCCUCAUCUGAAAAGUGGAGAUGUAAUCCUUAUACCUCUCAAGAUUGCUGAGAAAUUAAAUGUGGUAGUCAGGCUGCACCAUAUGAAGUUGGUGGUUUUGUGGGUGUGAAGUGGGUGAUCCCCGGCCAUUUCUGGUUCAAUCCGUGUACAUUGGGAGCUCAGCACGGUGCUGGCAGGUGGUCAGCGCUUGCUCAGCCUCCGCACGGUUCCACCCCCAUUCCACAGAUCAGGCUGUACAGGGCCGAACGUGGGAAAAACAGGGCUGCAGGAAGGCAUGCAGGGCCUGGGAGGGAGUUGUGGGGAGGAAGGAGGGAAGAAGCCUCAGAACGCCAGAGGCUCUCAAAAUGCAGCGUGGCCAAAGCUGAUGCAGCGUCAGCCUCCCUCUUGCCAUUUUAAAGAUACUCCACCCCCAAACAAACACACACACCCCUCACCCUUCUGACCUCAUUAAAUUUACUUCUACAUGGCAUAACUUUCUUCCCCAGUCUGAGCCCUCUGGGAUCCACCUUGUGACCUCAGAGGGCUAACGUCACAAUGGGGACCCUGAACCCUCACUCCAGCUUCUCCCCUGGGCACAGGUUUGCUGGCAGGUGCCAAGGUGGUAGGAUAUGCUUCCUCCCAACCUGGGGAAGGUGCAGAGGCUGUGACUGAAGCAGCCUGGCAUGGUGCUCCCCUUGGUCCUAAUUAACUCAGUUAUCAUAAGUUCCAUUGCAUCCAGGACUGAGAUACCCAAGUCCAAGGAAUGGGGAACCAUUAGAGACACACUGGCGGCGGGGGUGCAGGAAAAGAGAAAGCCACCACUAGUCAACCUGGUGGGACUUCCAAGGAAGGUAAUUCAAGGUUAGGCAUUUUCUUGGGA
This 1338-nucleotide long non-coding RNA is filed under the name Homo sapiens (human). Its description in RNAcentral is "HSALNT0308442". The record is from RNAcentral. Lineage: Eukaryota; Metazoa; Chordata; Mammalia; Primates; Hominidae.